This is a non-coding RNA of Pelobates cultripes (western spadefoot toad), 492 nucleotides long. The record is from the annotation of a GenBank genome assembly. NCBI's taxonomy places the organism in Eukaryota, Metazoa, Chordata, Amphibia, Anura, Pelobatidae.
CUUGAACCUUAAUCGAACUGACACAGUUGGUGUCCCUACCUGUCCAGUCAAUCUUUCAUAAGGUGAAAACUGUCCUAUUGGUCUACUAUUUAGUAUCAUAACUGCCUGCGUGAUCACCCGGUCCCACCCCCUCAAUGUCCUACUUGGGGAUAGCUUCCGAAUCUGUUCUUUUAAAAGCCCAUUGCACCUUUCAAUCAACCCCGAAGCUUGAGGAUGAUAGGGGAUGUGGAAGAUCCACUUAAUCCCGGAGUCAUUUGCCCACUGCUGUACGAGCUGUCCAGUGAAGUGGGUUCCAUUGUCUGUCUGAAUCUCAGAUGGCAGUCCAUAAGCAAUCACAAGAGUCUGUAGCAUCUGAAGUGUUGAGGCCUGGUUCGCAUGUUUGCAGGGUAAUACUUUCAGAAUUCCGGAAAAGGUGUCUACAGCAGUACAACAAUACAUCAGCCCCCCUCUUCCUUUAGGCAUGGGACCAAUGUAGUCCAUCUGCCAGAUCUG